CCUACGGGAGGCAGCAGUGGGGAAUAUUGGACAAUGGGGGGAACCCUGAUCCAGCGACGCCGCGUGAGUGAAGAAGUAUUUCGGUAUGUAAAGCUCUAUCAGCAGGGAAGAAAGCAAUGACGGUACCUGACUAAGAAGCCCCGGCUAACUACGUGCCAGCAGCCGCGGUAAUACGUAGGGGGCAAGCGUUAUCCGGAUUUACUGGGUGUAAAGGGAGCGUAGACGGCGAUGCAAGUCUGAAGUGAAAGGCGGGGGCCCAACCCCCGGACUGCUUUGGAAACUGUAUGGCUGGAGUGCAGGAGAGGUAAGUGGAAUUCCUAGUGUAGCGGUGAAAUGCGUAGAGAUUAGGAGGAACACCAGUGGCGAAGGCGGCUUACUGGACUGUAACUGACGUUGAGGCUCGAAAGCGUGGGGAGCAAACAGGAUUAGAUACCCUGGUAGUC
RNAcentral lists this ribosomal RNA (443 nucleotides) under uncultured bacterium. RNAcentral's name for it is "partial 16S ribosomal RNA". It matches the Rfam family "Bacterial small subunit ribosomal RNA", at positions 338 to 795 of the family's 1533-position model. The record is from RNAcentral.